Molecule: ribosomal RNA, 254 nt
Filed under: uncultured bacterium
Lineage: Bacteria
Description: partial 16S ribosomal RNA
Rfam family: Archaeal small subunit ribosomal RNA
Source: RNAcentral
UACCAGCACCCCGAGUGGUCGGGACGUUUUAUUGGGCCUAAAGCAUCCGUAGCCGGUUCUACAAGUCUUCCGUUAAAUCCAACUGCUUAACAGGUGGGCUGCGGAAGAUACUAUAGAGCUAGGAGGCGGGAGAGGCAAGCGGUACUCGAUGGGUAGGGGUAAAAUCCGUUGAUCCAUUGAAGACCACCAGUGGCGAAGGCGGCUUACUGGACCGGUUCUGACGCUGAGGCGCGAAAGCGUGGGGAGCAAACAGG